GGAGUCUUGACAACAAGCUCUAGUUUUCUGCCCUAUACAAGGUCAGUAGUCAUCAUUAUCUUUUUUAUAUAUUUUGAUUUUUGGUUUCUAAAACUUUGUGGCCGUUUGAAUAUCCUCACUUCAUAUAAUCUUGUAUUUCUAAAUGUUUCCCAGAAUCUGCCUCAUGUAGCUUUGAUUAAAAACAUCUUGUAAGUAGUUUGUAUAAAGUUAUGAUGUUCAUAUCUUGUUAGAAUUGUGAAUUCGAGAAUGACUAAUGGUCUAUCUUUCACUCCAUUAACGAUCAGUACACAAAGGAGUUAACAUGAAACUAUUCCCUUUUGAGAAAACUAUAUGAAGUGUUAAAAUAAAACCAUACAGACUUGGACAUAGCCGUCCUGAAAUUAAGUGUUAAUACCAUAAGAGAUUUAUCUUUACAUGAGCUUUGUUGGCGAAUAAGCACGUCUUUAUGUUUGUAAAGUAUCAUUCUCAAAUCUGUUCGAACUAAGAUUAGAGUAGGGAUGGAAAUUUUCUCUCUUAAGAUGUUUGUUUGAAUUCAAGUAUGUCUAAAUUACUGUAAAGUUGGGUUGGGGGAACCUAACCUUUUUGUUUUGCAGUCAUCUCAGCUUACUGUUUGGUUUGAAUAUGACCUGCUAAAUAAAUGUCGUUCAUAGACUUCUCCAAUUCGUGGCUGUUUUACGUAAUUACAUUAUAGGCAUAGUUAUUAUGUUUUAAAGUUUAUAAUGAUAGCGGAG
Molecule: long non-coding RNA, 731 nt
Filed under: Solanum tuberosum (potato)
Lineage: Eukaryota; Viridiplantae; Streptophyta; Magnoliopsida; Solanales; Solanaceae
Description: long non-coding RNA (STUB_LNC004654)
Source: RNAcentral